UACUUGUGAGACACUGGAAUAAAAAUGGAUGAGGUAAGCAGUGUACCCGUGUUGGAUAAUAUCAGAAAAACGCAGUUGCAAUGCCUGAUUUGCUACUCCCAGUACAUCAACCCCAAGACCCUGACUUGCGAACACAGUUUCUGCAAAAACUGUCUAGAAGAAAUGAUGGAAGCCCAUCCAACAAAAAGCAUUUCAUGUCCCGUCUGCAGGAGAGAAACCUCUUUACCAGAGGAAGGAAUUGAUGACCUCCCAAAGAGCUUUUCAUUAAUUAGUUUGAUGGAAACUAUUGCUGAACAACAGCGGCUUGUUGAGCAUCAUGGUCUUAAUGGUCAAACUGUAUUAGAUAAUAUCAGCAAAGCGCAGCUGGAAUGCCCGAUUUGCUACUCGCAGUACAUCAACCCCAAGACUCUGACUUGUAAACACAACUUCUGCCAAAACUGUCUUGAAGAAAUGAGGACAGCCCAUCCUCUGGAAGAAAACAUUAUAUGUCCCAUCUGCAGAAAAGAAACGUCUUCACCAGAGGCAGGAAUUUAUGACCUCACCCAGAGUCUUUUCUUAAUUAACUUGAUGGAAACUAUUGCCGAACAACAGCAGCUCGUCAGACGUCUUCAGACUAAGAUAAUUUGUCAAGAUUGCGAUGAGGAAGAUGAAGCUGUCAGCUACUGCCUUGAUUGUCAGGAAUUUCUUUGCGAGGUUUGUGACAAUGCGCACCAACGUAGCAAAAGAACAAAAAGCCAUGAAAAAGCUUCAAUCGACCAUCUACGCUCUGGCAAAGCAAGUUUCAAAAAGAACUCUCAGCUUCUCACGAAUGUACCAAAAUGUGGUACACACCCCAACCAGAACAAGAUUUUCUACUGCCAACGUUGCUUCAUAAUGAUAUGUGCUUCAUGCACCCAGGAUCAUCGAAACCCUUACCACGAACUCGUUGGUUUAUCACAAGCCAUAGAAUCAAGCAAUGACAUCAUUAAUGAUCGUGUCGAACAAGUUGAGAAGUGCCUACAAAGGUUUACUAAAAAAAGAGAACUUCUUGACAUGUUAUCCACUGAACACCAAGAAAGGAUAAAGCAAAAACACAAAAUUAUCACUGAUGACGCAGACAGAAAAGUUGCUGAACUCCGUAAAGAGGAACAAAAACUUAAAGACAAAGUGACAAGAUUCUGCUAUGAAAAGGGCAAAGAAUUCAAAAAAAUUAUGGCAAGCAACUGUAUAAAUGAAAAAAAGAUAAAGCAACAGCUGGAAAAGGUGACCAAUGACAAGAAAGGAGUCCAGGAAAUUGAUCUUCUGAAAAUGCAAAAGAGUCUUAUGCAAGACUUAAAAGAUGCACUGGAUGUUGACAACCCAACUGGAUGUGUCUGCCUGAAUUUUAAAGAUUUCAAAGAAAGUUCAGACUUCACUGAUGAGGAAAUCUAUCUGAUGUUUGGACAAAAACGAAACAUGACUGACUCCGAGGUUUCAGAUGGGAUGAAAGUUGGCACAUGGGUGGUACGAGGAAAGAAGUGGCAUUGGGGUGCGCAGGAUGGUGACCCACCCGGUGAAGGUGUAAUUAGGCGAAGCAACGACUGGGACGUCAGAGUAGGAUGGGAUGAAGGCCCUGCUGGCCACCUUGACCGUUACUCUCCUGAGGACCUUGAUUUUGCAUGGCCCUAGAGUGACAAUGCAUACAAGCAACAACAAAAACCGACCAUCCACUUUUACAAAAAUCAUUUUGUAUGAUAUUUAGUUUGCAUUAGCAUUACGUCAAAAAGUUGACCUGUAAUACCACGUCGCGAGACCCCUGAUGAGGUCAUUGAUCUGAAACUUCACACAUUAUGAUCAAUUGCCUGCCUGAUGGUCAACAUGUGUGUGUAAACUCUGAAGUGAUUACAAACAACUUUCAUUGCAAUUGUUCUUUAGGAACUAAGUAAAAUGGUGUAUAGACAAACAUAAACAAAGAAUUAACAAUCACAAAAGGCUAACAAGGACUUCAAUGUAUCAACAUAAUGACAAAUAAUUAGGAGUAAGAUUGUUCCAUAUGGAACAACAAGCAGCAUUAGAACAGGAUCUUUGAUAUCGUGCCAAUUCGUUAUGUAUAUUCCAAAAAGUGACUGAGUAGAUCAUUGUGGUGUUCGGGUAGGAGUGUAGUGAUGGACAAGUAUGAUAGGCUUUGAAAGUAACGAGAAGGAUUGUGUACAAACUCAAGUCUCUAGAUUGUCCAAAGUACUAGUGUCUUAAAAGUAGAAAGUCUUAAAGUCUUUUGUAGAAAGUCUUUAAAAGAAAGUAUUAAUGUCUUAAGUAUAAAGCCUUAAGUAGAAAGCCCCAAGUCUAAAGUCUCAAGUAGAAUUAAGUAGAAAGUCUUAAGUAUAAAGUAUAAAGUCUUGAAAAGAAAGUCUUAAUGUCUCAAGUAGAAAGUCUUAAGUCUUAAUGUCUUAAGUAGAAAGUCUUAGGUAGAAAGACUUAAGUCUGAGGUAGAAAGUCUUGAAAAGAAAGUCUUAAUGUCUCAAUUAGAAAGUCUUAAGUCUUAAUGUCUUAAGUAGAAAGUCUUAGGUAGAAAGUCUUAAGUAUAAAGUAUAAAGUCUUGAAAAGAAAGUCUUAAUGUCUCAAGUAGAAAGUCUUAAGUCUUAAUGUCUUAAGUAGAAAGUCUUAGGUAGAAAGACUUAAGUCUGAGGUAGAAAGUCUUAAAAAGAAAGUAUUAAUGUCUUAAGUAUAAAGCCUUAAGUAGAAAGCCCCAAGUCUAAAGUCUCAAGUAGAAUUAAGUAGAAAGUCUUAAGUAUAAAGUAUAAAGUCUUGAAAAGAAAGUCUUAAUGUCUCAAGUAGAAAGUCUUAAGUCUUAAUGUCUUAAGUAGAAAGUCUUAGGUAGAAAGACUUAAGUCUGAGGUAGAAAGUCUUGAAAAGAAAGUCUUAAUGUCUCAAUUAGAAAGUCUUAAGUCUUAAUGUCUUAAGUAGAAAGUCUUAGGUAGAAAGUCUUAAGUAUAAAGUAUAAAGUCUUGAAAAGAAAGUCUUAAUGUCUCAAGUAGAAAGUCUUAAGUCUUAAUGUCUUAAGUAGAAAGUCUUAGGUAGAAAGACUUAAGUCUGAGGUAGAAAGUCUUAAAAAGAAAGUCUUAAUGUCAUGGAAAGUUGAAAGCCUUGAAUCUUAAAUCUAAGGUAGAAAGUCUUAAAAAGAAAGUCUUAAUGUCAUUAAGUCGAAAGCCUUGAAUCUUAAAUCUAAGGUAGAAAGUCUAAAGUCUUAAGUAGAAAGUCUUAGGUAGAAAGACUUAAGUCUGAGGUAGAAAGUCUUAAAAAGAAAGUCUUAGUGUCAUAAGUCGAAAGCCUUGAGUUUAAAUCUAAGGUACAAAGUCUUACAGUGUUAGGAAGAAAGCCUUCAAAAGAAAGUCUUAAUGGGGUACCCGGUAUUAGUAUAAAAACAAAUUGUUAAUUUUUAAUACACAUUGUUAAUCGUUUUCAUGAAAUGUAAAGAGUAGUACUAAAAUAUUUUGGUGAAUACUUGUUGAGGUCUUUUUUAUUUAGGUGGUAUUUCUUUGUUUCUGAAAAAUGCUAGGGUGACAAGCGAUAUCUUUGUUAGUUACUCAAAAAAUAAAUUAUCAUAACAAUUUGCAGCUGUUGAUGUUGAUAAUAACGUAUAACAUUUUGAGAACUGAUUCCAUUAAAAGGAAUGUAGUUUUAGAGAGAGAGAUUCAGCCAAAUUUCAAUUUCAGAAAUGUUGCAUGCAUGAAAUGUUUCUCAGAUUGUGAAGUCCAAUUUCUGGUUAAUCUUCCUGCAUGGACAUAACCGCUCCAGACUUAAGCGGUAUUUACUCGUAGAUCAUUUAUUAAAAUGAUUUUAUUAAAAAGACCAGAAUCAAAAUGAAAUGAGACUAGAAUAAACAGAUUAUCAUCUUAUAACCGCUUCAUUUGAUAAAAACAAACUAAGAGAAGAUUUAUCUCUUCUGUUUUAUGGGUGAUACGCAGCAGGCUUAAAAGAUAUUUGUGAGAUUCAAACUAAACAUUUUGAACAUCAUUCAAUUUUUGUGGACAAAGAUGUUACAUUGAAAUGUCCAGUCUUAAACUUACCUGCCCAACACUGACAUUAUAUCACUAGCCUUGGGAAAGUGGGCCAGUGUAAGAGUUGAGCCCUGAGUGUACAAUUAAACAGGUAAAUUCAGGCCUGUAUGCCUUGUUUUCAAAAGGGCAAGGGCACCAAGACAUU
Asterias rubens (European starfish) is the source of this 4161-nucleotide RNA transcript. It is a transcript of the gene named E3 ubiquitin-protein ligase TRIM71-like, with no coding region annotated. The record is from RefSeq and is a predicted model, not a curated record. The transcript has 4 exons. NCBI's taxonomy places the organism in Eukaryota, Metazoa, Echinodermata, Asteroidea, Forcipulatida, Asteriidae.